AGAGUUUGAUCAUGGCUCAGGAUGAACGCCGGCGGUGUGCCUAAUACAUGCAAGUCGUACACACUGGCCCAACUGAUUGAUGGUGCUUGCACCUGAUUGACGAUGGAUUACCAGUGAGUGGCGGACGGGUGAGUAACACGUAGGUAACCUGCCCCGG
This 157-nucleotide ribosomal RNA is filed under the name uncultured bacterium. Its description in RNAcentral is "partial 16S ribosomal RNA". It matches the Rfam family "Bacterial small subunit ribosomal RNA", at positions 8 to 134 of the family's 1533-position model. The record is from RNAcentral.